CUCUGAAUGGCCCACUGAUGCACCCACAGGUAACUCUGCAGUUGACCAGUUCCAGCCAUUCUACCUUGCCAUAGCUAUCAAUGGCGAUUCCUUUAAAUCAAGGUAUCACUGCUUCCAGAAUCAGUCUGUGACUGGCUUAAGUGUGGAAUGGGACAUUUUACUUAUUUAAAUAGUCUUUAUUAUUGGUGAGUUCUAGUCGUGGAUUUCCCUUCAGCAGGGCACUGCUAGGGAUUCUGGGCCCCAUGAAAAGAAUUUUUACACGGCCCCCAACACAGAGGGCCACAUUUUUUAUGCUUUUUCUAAUUAAUUAUUUACUGAUGUUGAGAGUGCAUGCAACAGUCAGGUAACAGUGAGAGAGCCCUCUGCUGGAUCAAAUGGCAAACUACCUCAGACAGCCUGGUGCUCUGGUAUACUGUAUAAUUUGAAUUCAAACUGUUAGUUACAAUUCAGAUGUGUGCUCCCCUCUAACACACUAAAAUCUCAUCACAUGAUGGUUUUCAGCCUAACUUUGUUCUAACAUCAGUUUUCUCCAAAUCUCCCUGUCUCUCUUUGUCUGUUGUUGUUGCAAUGAACCCUUGUUGGCAUCCAUUUAACUGUUUGACAACAUCUGCUUCACAGCAGGCUAUUACGUCAUGGCUCUCCACAAAAUCUCCUGGAUUUCAUAGACACAGCAGGAGACCUGAAAGUAAUUAUUUAUUAUAUCUAAUCAGUGCUGUGACAAUAAUCCUCCAAGCAGAUCAGGUGAGUAAAAUAAUUUCCAAUACAACUCAAAAUUUUGUAAAAUAAUCUUCAGAACAAGCAGAAAAAUUUGCCUUGUAGUGUGUACCCUUGUAAUGAAUAACAAUUUCAUCAUUCCUGCUACUGAUUCUGGGUCUGACAACUGCUGUAAAAGGACUCCAGUUCCCAGAUUAAUGUUGCAUAGCUGGCACUGUGACUGGAGGCUGCAAUGUAAAUGGAUAAAAAUAAUAUUCAGUGAUUACCGAUGCAGAGCGAUCUGCUGCAGGAUUAAUGCGUUAGACAUCUCACAAAUGCAAAGCAAGACUCAUCACUGUUUUACUUCCCACUACGCCUAAGUAAGGCCUAAGCAGGGAGUGAUGAUUGCUGCUGUGUUCAGCUCUGCACGGAUGAGAUGUGAUGUGAGAAAGAGACUGAGAGAUUUUUCAGUGGUGAGGAAAAGGCUCAGACUUCAAAGGUGUGUCAGGACAUGCAGCACUCUGGCAGCGUGGCAUUGAUGCCAGCCCUGUGUGGCCAUGUAAAUUUCAUGACAUCCAUCCACCAAGCUAUCUACUUAUCAGCCUACAUUCUUGCAUUUCCAUGAUUUUUUUUACUCUUUCUCAGAGGGUUUGUCCUAAAAAAACACUCAACCCCGUACACAAAGAUUUAUUAAAGUGCACUUCACACCCAUGCAUGCGCAUUCACACGUCUUUUUCCCUCUGUGGUCCUCCCAUUGGUGUAUUGUGUUUCUCUUAAGCUUGCCAGCUGUCAAAUGCAAGCCAAAGCUUCUCUCCACCGCUUUAUUUCACCCCUCCUCUCCACCUCUCUCACCCAGUUGGCCUCAGUCUCCCUCACCUCUGUAGCAUUCACCUCUCCAGCUCUCUGAACCCAGAUCCUCUCUCUGGGGCCAGCCUGUCAAGGUGAACUGGGCCUGAGAUCUGUUUGUUUCUGUGAGAGAGAGAGAGAGGGAAGCUCAGAGAGAGCAGUGAGCAGGGCUGGAAAGUCUAAAAAACCACCAUAAUGGAAAUGGAAGUCCUGCUUUACAUUCAGUGGAGUAGCAACAGAAAACGAAUGAGCUGCUUCUUUAAAGGAAAGACACAUGUCACAGUGAAUGCUGUGCACACUCCAUUUUUAAGUACUUUCUCAUUUUUAAAGCUUUGCAAAAUCAGACAUCACACCUUUUUGUAAAUCUUUGUUUUUAUCUGCAUUAUUUUUCCACAUUUCACCAUGAAACGUUUUAGCAAAUGAUACUGUUUUUAACUGUAAUUAGCGCUGUGCAGCUUAAACCUAUUAUCAAGCUCUGAAAUGAUCAUCACUAUCAUUUUAUUUGUUUGUUUUUAUUAUAGUUAGUUUUUAAUGGUAUUUUUUGGAACGUAAUCUUAGGAUAGCUUUUUUUUAACAAACUGAUGUUUUUUUUUCUAAUAAAAAAAACUGUUCUGUAGACAGUCACUUUUUCAAACUUUAACAUCUCUUUUGACACACUAUUGUGGCGUUUUACACAUGCAUGUCUUAGCUGCAUCUCUGCACCCUUGGUUGCUGUUGAUGAUGUCAAAGUAGAAUUUGGAAAGGUGAAUUUUUAUAUAAGAGAUAUAAGAGAUUCACCAAAGCAGAGUCAUGAUGACAAAAACUCCAGCCCCUUGAAUCCUAAAGGAAGCUGCAACCAGCAGUUCAGAGCAGGUGAGCAGGAUUUAAGUACUCGUGGAAUUAUAGGAACACGAAACUAAGUUACAAGCCCCACAUGUGAGUGCUUUAUAUUAAGUUUUCUGUAAAAAAAAAAAAUCAGUAGACAUGCUUCAGUGUGUCUUCUCUCACUUCUGUCAUUAUUUACUUUUUAUUUAUCUAUUUUAUUGUUUAUUUGAUGUGGACAUCACAAUUACAUUGGACAAACCAGAUGCAUUGUUUGAGUGUUUUAGCACAUGUGCUAAUUCGCAACACUUGUACACAGGAGGCUUUUGAAGUAACAAAAGUAAUAAGAAAAUAAAAGGAGAGGGGAAAAAAGGAAUGCAGUGUACAAUAACAUUACAACAGUAAAAGACAGACAGUUUUUUUUCUGAUUAAAUACAUACAUAAGCUACAAAGCAAAGGCAAAACCAAAGACAACAUGGUCAACCAUUAAACCAGUUUAAGACAAAUCGUGUGUGCACUGUUGUUUUGAUUUUAGCCACUGUUUGAGUCCUUCGUAAAAAGCAUUACUGUUGGUCUCUGAUUUCAGAGUAGUGGGUAGAGAGUUUCAAAGUUUCGCUCCCUUUACGGAAAGAGCAGACUGACAGAAUGAAGUCUUGCAUCUUGGGACAAGACAAUCAACACUGGUGGAGGCUUGUGUGGCCGCUCGGUGAGAGCUCUGACGCCUGGUGGCCAAUUCAGAGAAUUCAGAGAACAGAGGUGACAAAUUAUUUAGACAUUUAAAAAACAGUUUAAGAGUACUAAAAUUCAUAAAAUUUUCAAAGGUGAAAAGGUUGUAUUUUCUUAAAAUGUGUUAGUAAUACAUUCUCAUUGGUUUCCAGUCCAUGAGUUUUAUUGCCUGCUUGUAUAUUGAGAUUAUAGGUUUUAAUGUGGUUGAAGAAACUUGUGACUAUGUUGUGAUGCAAUAUGACACAUGAGAAAAAAUCAUUGCAUGCAUGUACAAUUUGCAGCUUGAUGUGGCAGGUUACUUCUUAUAAAACGAAAGCAGUUAACAUUUGGUCUAACCUUGUUGCAGAUAUCUUUAAUCUGACUAUCAAACUAUUAGUUUUUGUCCAAGAUAAUGCCUAGGUACUUGACUUCAUUCACUUCAUCAAUGCUUUCCUUCUUAAUGCUGACCUCAAAUACAUUGUGUGCGGGCCAAUUACGGAUGGACAAGCACAUGGAUACAGUUUUUUCUUUUUACAUUAAGAGUUAGAUGAGAUAAUUCGAGCCAUUCAGAGAUGUUCAAUAAAGCCUGAGUUAGAUGCUCACCUGCCAGGCUGGGUGUUUUAUUGAACACAUGGAUGACCGUGUCAUCAGCGUACAUCUGGCAGUUGACAUUUGGACAGCAGCUUGGUAGAUCGUUAAUAUACAUUGUGAACAACAAUGGACCUAGAACAGACCCUUGCGGUACUCCUAUGCUGUUUGCACUCAUAUGUGACUUCCCCCCAUUGACCCUAACGCUGUCUCCCCCCUCCCCUAGGUAUAACUACUUUAGAGCUGCAGGUGAUAUUUUGAAUUGAUUUAGUUUAUUGAGUAAAAUACUGUGGUUAACAGUUUCAAAGGCCUUUUUUUAGAUCCAGGAACACUGUCCCUACAACAUUUCCUUUGUCCGAGAGGCUUUGAUCUUCUCAAGCAGAUAACAGUUUGCUGUUUCUGUGGAAGAUUUUUGUCUAAAUCCAAAGUGUUCCAUUAAUUGUUCAGCUACAAUCUUCUCCAGAACUUUUGACUACAGGGAGGAUGGCAAUGGGCCUAUAAUUACUUACUAAGUCUUUGUCUCCUGAUUUAUAAACUGGGGUAAUUAUUGCAGUUUUCCAGCUCUCUGGGAAGAUUUUUGUUUGUAAUGAAAGGUUUACUAAAUAAGUGAUUGCCUCCAACAGACAGCUCAGAUGUUUUUGAUAAAUGCAGCAUUUAGGCUUUGGAUAUCCUUAGACAUGGAGUUCCUCAUGUUUGCAAUCACUUUUUUAACUUUAUCAUGGGAUACCUCUUUUAUAUAAAAGGAGUCUGUGUGAGCAUGGUCAAAUUCUUCAGGAGUUGACUCAGUAGAUUUAAAAUUUAUUGCUACACAUGUAUUUAAGAAUUGAUAAUUGAAUUUUCCUUCGGGGAUCAAUAAAGUUCUUCUUAUUUGCCCUUUCACAACAUUUCAAGUGUUAUAUCUUCCUUACAAAGUUGCAGUAUGACAGCGAUACAGUACAUGUAACACACUUACUCUUUAAAAUACCCCCCACCCCCACCCCAAACAGUAUGAUGAGAUUCUUCAGAGAUUUCAAUUAUUAUUAGUACUAGUAGCAUUGUGAUAUUAUAUACAAGGAGAACGCCCACAACAAACAUUCCUUUUUCAAGUAUUUAUUUAUAACAACAACAAAAAACCUGAGCCAGAGUAGCAGAUGUUUAAAAAACUCCAAUCAUUGUUUUGUUUUGUUUUUUCUUUUGGCUUGUCCCAUUGAAUUCACUGCAAAAUGUCCCUGCAAUUUUUUGCAACUCAAAUUGCAUGAAUUUCCAGUAAAGUUCUUCUUAUCUUAUCUUAACUUAUCUUUCACCAAGGUUCAUUUUUAUGCAUGUUACUGAGAUUUGUACCAAGUUAAAAUUUGCCUUUUUUUUUAUUUUCAUUCAUUCAUUUAUUUAUUGUUAUGCCUUACUGACCCCCUUACAGCAAAAAAUAAUGCAUUACAGUUGUUGUAUUACAGUGAUGGAAUUACUGUAAUACAAUAACCUUUCCACUCCUACAGGACACAUUUGCUUGUAUUUUUUUCACAUUUCUACAAAUAAUACCUUUUGCAAAUUUUUUAACUAUUUUUUUGCAUACAUUUUUACAACGGAAACACCAUACCAUUGGGGAAUUUUUGCCUUUUUGCUUCUCAUCCACUUUUUUGGGCUCACAAUAUCUGCAUACUUCAACCUACAGACCUUGUUUUUGCUUUAAAUUGUUCUUAUCUUUUCAACUACAAAAUUAUGACUUCAUUCUCAUAAAUUCAUGACUUAUUUCUUGUAAAAUUCUAACUUUUUAUGAUAUUGUGGCUUUUUUCUCAUAAAUUUAUGACUUUAUCCUCUUAAAAUUAUGAUUGAUUCUCGAAGUCUGUAAAGAAAAAAUUCUCAAUGCAGUCUUAAUACUCUGUCAUAGUAUGACUUUGACACAACUGUUUUUAUAGCAGUCACGGCUAAAUCAUUCAAUGACUACAUGCAUGUAAGAACAGUGACAUCUACACACUGAGGUAUGUUGCUGUUUUUUUUUUUUUUUUUUAUGAACAGGCUGAUUUUUGCUCACUUGCCCAAGGAAGUAAGGACUAUAUAAACCGUGAAGCUAGUGUAACAUUUCUCACAAACUGAUUUUGUGGUACACGGCUGAGGACUUUCCCACUCCAUAAAGUUCAACAUCAGCUGUAUGUGGAUAUGAUUUAACAUCAAUAGGCUGAGCGCACACAACAUGGCUCUGGAUAGCAGUGCAUGGAGAUGUUCUCUCAUUCACAAUGAAGCUCAAACAUAGAGAUAACUGCACAGGGCGGCAAAACUUCAUCAAAAAAUAAGCAGCGAUGAUAUUUAAGUGCAGAAAUGAAUUAAACCUUGAGACAGGGCAGAUAGCGAGGAAAUGAUGCGCACUUCCUGGUGUUUGCUCUUUGUGGAUUACAACCUAUGUGCCUAAUAAAAGAAUUAUAAUCACUCUCCCAUCAUUGUUGCAUGAUGAAUCAGAAUUUUAAGACUCCCAUUUCUUCUCUUGGAAUUAUUUUUGUGGAAGUUAAAGAAACAAUAAUUCAGCUAUAUGGCCUUGACAGAAUCAAAUGAAGCUUUAUAUGGAUUUGAUGUUGUUUUAUUUCAAUGUUUAUUACAGUGUGCAUUUGAGAAAUUGGAGAAUUAAAGUUUUUUUUCAUGAAAUUUUAGUCUUCACCUGUUGGGUUGAAAUAGAUACGAGUUAUAGCCUCAGAACACUGAGCAGAAGCAGCUUUCAUUUGUAAGAAGAAAUGAAAGACAAGGACAUGGGAAAAGGAUAUGCUGACUUUCCUGCACAGUAAUCCCAGCUGACUGUAUCCCUCAGGGUGUGUUUCCUUUCUGCAAAAAAAGAAGAAAAAGAAGGACACUCUCAGCUCUGGUUUUGUGUAACUCUGGACCUGCAGGGUUGUAACACAAACCAGCCUCAGUUUGUGGAGAGGUCUCUGAAAACAAGGUCUAGUUUGUCCCAUCUGCUUUGACUCCACAACAAAUAGCCACUCCAUGUCACUAAUAUAAGCAAAAUGCAUUUCAGUCAACCCCUUUGUGAAUGGUAAUCUGAUAUUAUCCACACCCACUGAAGUACAAGUUUCACGUGCACAACUUGACUGACACAGUGAUCAUUCUUCCUACAUGUACUUUACUGUUCACACAAGUCCUGACACAAAACGCUUGCUGCUCUAUACUUGGUGUUCUUGGUGGUUUCGACUCAUUUUUGAAAACCUCUAAACUUUUAAACCAGAAACACGAUCUUUUCAACAAUGUCGUGGUGCAUCAGAACUCUUUUGCAUGUUUGCAAAAGGUAACAUCCAGUCAUUUCAUCCAGCCACUACCAGUUAACCUGGUUCUACAAUUUGAUAAAGGUUGAUGGUUGCAAUGCCAAACUCGAGGCUUUAAAAAAGGUGGUGUGCUAACUCUGGUCAUGUAAGGGUGCCAGAGGUUGCAGUUCUUUAGGUGUUCAAUUACAGUAAGGCCAACUGCAAAACCCACAUGCUUUCCUGUUCUUAAUAACUCAAUUUUAAAUUAAAAUAAAGAUGUAAACUGCUUCGUGAAGGUCAUUCUGGUCUGAAGUUAAAUAUACCUUUAUAAUUCAUUAGUUUUGGAGAUAGUAGGUUUGUAUAAGUGAAAAAUGGGUGCUUUUUACUAGUAGGGGUUAGCACAGCGGUCCGGGACAGUGUGGUAUGCUACUAUUGUCAAAUGUUAAGAUACCCAAAUAACCAAUCCGAUACUGUAGGGGGUACCAAGUGGACCUAUGUGCAGAACUAUACUUUUAAAAUGAUUUAACUCCCUUAAUGCAUCCCAUCUCUGUUGUUGGUGCGUUUCUGUUUAUAUUAGGGGAUGCUUUGGGAAGUCGGGGGUUGGUCCGUUGGUUCUUUAUUCACCAAGAGACGCCAGCUGAGCAGCCAGAGGGGUACAGAGAUUAAAGCAAAGGGAGGGAGAGAUAGCACAGUAGAAAUCUUACUGUAACCUGAUCCAAUACAUGCUGCAAACAUUGUUCUUUCCAACUCCUUUCUGGCUACUUUGCAUGUUGCGUCUUGUACAAAACAACUGUCCCAGAAAUACCCUGAAAAUAAAAGUAGCAAGCAAACUAACUCACCGACGCGGUAUCAACCAAGAACUGAAUCAACCUCUCCACAAGAUCUUCAACCUGAGUCUACAGCUGGGGCGGGUACCUGCUCUGUGGAAAACAUCCUGCAUUGUGACAAUACCAAAAACAAAAUGUCCUGCUGAACUCAAUGACUACAGACCAGUGGCCCUCACUUCACACAUCAUGAAAACCCUGGAGUGACUGAUUCUACGCCUUCUGAGGUCUGAGGUCAAAGACAAACUGAACUCCUGCAGUUUGCAUACAAAGAACACAUUGGAGUGGAUGAUACUGUCCUCUACAUGCUUCACCGUGCCCUGUCUCAUCUGGAGGAACCUGGGGUUUAUGUGAGGAUCAUGUUCUUCAACUUUUAAAGUGCAUUCAACACCAUCCGACCCACCAUACUCAAAGACAAGCUCACAGAGAUGGGAGUGGAUCCUUCCUGUGUUUUCUGGAUCACAGAUUACCUGACAGGAAGGCCACAGUUUGUCAGGCUGCUGAACUAUGUUUCUGGGACAUUAAUGAGCAGUACAGGGACUCCACAAGGGACAGUGCUGGUGCCAUUCCUGUUCACACUGUAUACGUCAGACUUCAAAUACAGUACUGAGUCCUGCCACAUCCAGAAAUACUCAGAUGACACCGCUAUUGUGGCAUGUAUCAGAAAUGGACAAGAAGCUGAAUACAGAGAUCUAAUAAGAGCCUUCAGUGACUGGAAUCACAAAAACUGCGUCCUCCUCAACACCUCAAAGACAAAGGAGAUGGUCAUAGACUUCCAUAGAUCCAAACCCCCUCUUCAGCCAGUGAACACCUGUGGAGUGGACAUCGAAGUGGUGACAUCAUAGAAAUACCUAGGUGUACAUCUGGAUAAUAAGUUGGAUUGGUCUAAGAAUAUGGACUUCAUGUACAGAAAGGGGCAGAGCCCCCUCUUUUGCCUGAGAAAACUCUGAUCAAUAGACAUCUGUAGUAAGAUGCUGCAGAUGUUUUAUCAGUCUGUGGUGUCUACAGUGUUCUGUUCUACGCUGCAGUCUGCUGGGGAGGAAGCAUCAAACACAAAGAUGAAGACGGAGAUGGAGAAAGGGCCAAUGGUGGUGGACGGCUCCUCUCUCUUCGCUGCAGGACAGAGAGAUUCAGGAGAUCUCUUGUACCAACAGCCAUCAGACUUUAUAACUCUUGUGAUAACUCUAACAGUUAUCUAUUAUUUACAAUUUACAAAGUUUAUUUACAAAGUUAUUAGCAGUAAAGUUAUUCUUAUUCUUAUUUUGUUUCCCUUUUAUUAGUUUUAUUCACCUAUUUGGUCAUUUCUAUACUCAUUUUGUUGAUCUCACACAACACACACACACACACAUACACACACACACACACACACAAGAACAUGAAUUAAAAAUUCAAAUUGUCAAAAUUGAAAAUCCCACAAAGUGCCUACCUAUUUAUUUGAUUAUAUGUCAUCUUACCCUAACAACAUUUUGUCGCUGUUGCAUGCUUCCUCACUUAUCUUGUAUUGUUUCAUAUCACCAAAUGAAAUUCAAUAGAUUUAAAAAGAUAAAAAAUAAAUAAAUAAAUAAAAUCAAUGUGAAAUAAGACUUUUUUUACACCGAAGUAUGGAUUGAGCCUUAGCUUGGACAAGCAUUUAUAGAGUAAAACCAUGGUAUAUUUAAUUUAAAGCUAACACAGAGUGAACACAGCACUCUACUUUUUGUUUUACUUCUGUUUUUGGACAACAUACACUGACCAUGCCCACAGUCUGCACAGUCUGAUAUGUUAACUUGCACCCCAAAAUCAAAAUCAAGCUUUCUCUGAACUGAAAGCACCUUCAAGAUCGAAGCUUACUGUACCAAACUACAACCUUUUCUGGAAUCAUCUACCAGUCCAGGUCCAGGGGUCAAACACCCUUUCUGAUUUUUGGAGUAGACUUAAUAUGUUCCUCUUUGAUAAAGCUUAUAGCCAGACCUGCUGCAGGUCUGGAUCAGUCCUUGGUUUUGCUGCUACAGGUUUAGACUGCUGGGUGUUACUGGGUGUUACUGGUACACUGAUCUCCUUGCCCACCUUCUCCACCUCUUUCUGUCUGUGUCUUUAACCCCCCCCAGAAUGCAGCUUUAAUCCCUUAAAGAUUAUAAACUCAUGAUUUCCCUCUCCACAGGCCAACCACAGCCGGACCUUUGUCUCUGGGCUAAUUGUGAUCAUGUGUGACAGUCAGAGGAUGAAGCCCAGCAGAAGAUGAUGUAUUUUCUGCUCCUGAUCCGACUGCAAUCUUCAAACUGCACUGGAUGGCCAAACACUGUACUGUUUAUGCUGUUUUGAUGUUUGUUUCCUGGACAGACUGAAGGAGGAGUGAAGAAAAACAUCAACCACUUCCCCAAUCAGCCUUUCAUAUACUGUAUUUGGUAUACAUCACAUCAAAUUGGGAAAUGUACUCAUUAUUCUUGGGAAUAAUGAGUGAAUUACUUGGGCCAUUUGUUUUAUAGCUUAUCACCUACUUUGACAUUUUUACACUCUUUGUAGAUGAAUAUCAGGACCAGUGAUUCCCUGCAUACUGUGCUUUGUGUCAGGUUGCCAAGAUGUUGCAUCAUGAAUCAAAAAUCACUGAUCCAAAGGAGACAUUUCCCAACAAAAGACAAUAACUCACACUGUUUGCCUUAGUGGCAGUGAUAGCUGAGGCACGGAGUGACGGAUGUAUUCACCUUUUUUAUGACUUUCCAUGGCUCUGAACUAGAAUUAAUGUUUAUUUCAAAUAUGUUCACUCACAGAGUUGGCAACAAACCAAACCAUAAACCAGCAGC
RNAcentral lists this long non-coding RNA (10440 nucleotides) under Xyrichtys novacula (pearly razorfish). The record is from RNAcentral. Lineage: Eukaryota; Metazoa; Chordata; Actinopteri; Labriformes; Labridae.